UACGAAGGGGACUAGCGUUGUUCGGAAUCACUGGGCGUAAAGCGCACGUAGGCGGAUGUGUCAGUCAGGGGUGAAAUCCCGGGGCUCAACCUCGGAACUGCCUUUGAUACAGCACGUCUCGAGUCCGGAAGAGGUGGGUGGAAUUCCUAGUGUAGAGGUGAAAUUCGUAGAUAUUAGGAAGAACACCGGUGGCGAAGGCGGCCCACUGGCCCGAUACUGACGCUGAGGCACGAAAGCGUGGGGAGCAAACAGG
Molecule: ribosomal RNA, 253 nt
Filed under: uncultured bacterium
Lineage: Bacteria
Description: partial 16S ribosomal RNA
Rfam family: Bacterial small subunit ribosomal RNA
Source: RNAcentral